RNAcentral lists this ribosomal RNA (475 nucleotides) under uncultured bacterium. Its description in RNAcentral is "bacterial SSU rRNA". It matches the Rfam family "Bacterial small subunit ribosomal RNA", at positions 328 to 793 of the family's 1533-position model. The record is from RNAcentral.
UCAGUCGACUCCUACGGGGAGGCAGCAGUGGGGAAUAUUGCACAAUGGGGGAAACCCUGAUGCAGCCAUGCCGCGUGUGUGAAGAAGGCCUUCGGGUUGUAAAGCACUUUCAGUAGGGAGGAAGGUAGUGUAGUUAACACCUGCAUUAUUUGACGUUAUCUACAGAAGAAGCACCGGCUAACUCCGUGCCAGCAGCCGCGGUAAUACGGAGGGUGCGAGCGUUAAUCGGAAUUACUGGGCGUAAAGCGCAUGCAGGCGGCCUGUUAAGUCAGAUGUGAAAGCCCGGGGCUUAACCUCGGAAUUGCAUUUGAAACUGGCAGGCUAGAGUCUUGUAGAGGGGGGUAGGAAUUUCAGGUGUAGCGGUGAAAUGCGUAGAGAUCUGAAGGAAUACCAGUGGCGAAGGCGGCCCCCUGGACAAAGACUGACGCUCAGAUGCGAAAGCGUGGGGAGCAAACAGGAUUAGAUACCCUGGUAG